RNAcentral lists this long non-coding RNA (888 nucleotides) under Rattus norvegicus (Norway rat). Its description in RNAcentral is "long non-coding RNA NONRATT032370". The record is from RNAcentral. Lineage: Eukaryota; Metazoa; Chordata; Mammalia; Rodentia; Muridae.
CAAAGAGAGCUGACAGGGCCAGUGGAGAGGAGACUUUCUGGCUAUCUUCAAGCUCAGAUAGUAGUCAGUCACUGGACUCUUUAACUAUGAGGUUUCCCUGCUCUUGAUGAUGGAACAGAUUUCAUUAAAGACCGUCUCAAAUCAGAAGAAUGACUAAUCAAAAGUGAGAAGCCAUGAGUGUUUAGAAAACAAAUUCCUAAACAUUGGCUUGUAUUGAAAAGUGAAUAGAUAAACAGUUUUGCAGUGACCUGAAGGCUUGGAUAGAGAGAAUAAAUAAAUUAUUGACACAUGAGGAGUAGACAAUUCUCCAUCCACAGUUGAGCUUUUCAUUCUUUGCGGAGCAGAUGGUCCAAAUAAAGCAGCCAAAAAUAACAGGCAUUUUACCACUCCUAGUCUCAAGAGAUCAAUCCUACCAAGUAGCUAUCUGUGAUGUUACCACAGGCAUAGAACAGAAGACAUCUUUGGACUUCAACUUCGUUGUAAAACUUCAGUUUAAAUAGUUGAGCAAAAGCGUCUUUAAGUUUCAGUCUUCUCACAAAAAUCCACCGUGAACAAAAACGGGAAAAACAAUGACAUUUCCAAAACCUCGAACUGUAAGAAAACCUACCGAAUACCCCAACAUUCAUGCUUAUAUCUCAAAAACUUUCAGCCUGCUAGUUUUCAAAGGAAUAUAAAUACCAUGAUGACACUAGAAUAUAUAAAUGAGAAAAUGAGUGAAUAAAUAAAGAAUGGGUGUGGAAAAGCAGAGCUGUCAUAAGUCAUAGAGGAAACAUAAAAGAAAAGCAAACUUUAAUAAAGUGAAAGUCAUAUUAGAAGUAAUAAUAAAGAACCAGAAAUAAACUGCUGUUGUCUAGAGUUCUCAGUGAUGUGAAAAAAGAAGGAAAUCAU